RNAcentral lists this ribosomal RNA (584 nucleotides) under Schizophyllum commune. RNAcentral describes it as "LSU rRNA". It matches the Rfam family "Eukaryotic large subunit ribosomal RNA", at positions 66 to 634 of the family's 3401-position model. The record is from RNAcentral. Lineage: Eukaryota; Fungi; Basidiomycota; Agaricomycetes; Agaricales; Schizophyllaceae.
UAACAAGGAUUCCCCUAGUAACUGCGAGUGAAGCGGGAAAAGCUCAAAUUUAAAAUCUGGCGGUCUCCGGCCGUCCGAGUUGUAAUUUAGAGAAGCGUUAUCCGUGCUGGACCGUGUAUAAGUCUCCUGGAAUGGAGCGUCAUAGAGGGUGAGAAUCCCGUCUUUGACACGGACUACCAGUGCAUUGUGAUGCGCUCUCGACGAGUCGAGUUGUUUGGGAAUGCAGCUCAAAAUGGGUGGUAAAUGCCAUCUAAAGCUAAAUAUUGGCGAGAGACCGAUAGCGAACAAGUACCGUGAGGGAAAGAUGAAAAGAACUUUGGAAAGAGAGUUAAACAGUACGUGAAAUUGUCGAAAGGGAAACGGUUGCAGUCAGUCGCGUCCGCCGGGGAUCAACCUUGCUUUUGCUUGGCGUAUUUCCCGGUGGAUGGGUCAGCAUCAGUUUUGACCGCAGUUGAAAGGCUGGAGGAAUGUGGCACCUUCGGGUGUGUUAUAGCCUCCUGUCAUAUGCUGCGGUUGGGACUGAGGAACUCAGCACGCCGCAAGGCCGGGAUUCGUCCACGUUCGUGCUUAGGAUGCUGGCGUAA